CCGACCGGGGAAGGGGUGCAGGCUCAGCCGCUGAUGGACUCUCUCUGUCAUCUAUAGCCGUCUCUGUAAUGGGUUUGCGUGCCCAUAGUAAUGCUGGAAAUGCAAGUGUCCUUGUUGUGGGAGGUGCAGGGGGAGGGGCCCGCCGCCUCAAAGUGGCCUAUCAGAGCCACGGGAACGUGGGCGUGGCCCUAUGCAGCCAGCAAACACUGUUAGGGCGUGGCGGACUGACCGGAGGCCUCCAUUUUGAAUUCCGCGCUGCAGAUGUAGUGCCUGACAACAUUUGCCUUCCCCAAGGUUACUGGUGAAGAGCGCAGGUGGGGAGGCGGACUGCCAGCCCCCCCCCCCAACAGCCUGUAGGGAGCUGCCUCUGGGGAGCCCCGAGUGGGGGGGGAAUGAACAUUUGGGUCAUGUCACAGCCUUGUGUGCAACUUUUUGCAGGCCGCCUGGCCAACUGUGCCACUUUAACCCCAAGUCCUUGUCUGUCAGGGCAGUGCUGAUUGUAAUUUCAGUCUGUAUGCUGCCCCCCCCAUCGAGAAUUAAUGGCGUCGUCUGACAAGCGUAUGUGCACAGACUCCCAGAUGACUAUCCCAGCUUGACGGGGGGGGGGGGGGGGCAUCUGCCACGUACAGACAUGGGCGACUUUGGUUACAUUAUAUCAACGGCUCUACUGAAUUAUCAUUUGAACACUUAAUAUUUCAGUCUGAAAAAGGGAUAUCUGAAUUACCAUGCGAGGUACGGAGCGAAGAGGAAAGCUAAAAGGAUUUGCCCUCAAGAGUUUGAAUAUGCAUUGAGUUUUGUGACAGGUAAUGAGUGUGUUUCUUUAUCUGGCAGAAGCGCGGCGCGGCGGGAGUGAGGGGCAGCUGGCGAGCCCUGAUCAGUGAAGUGUGUCAGGCUGUCGCGGAGGAAGCGGCCUUUGACAGCGCCUCGGUACUUAGCCUGCGCUAAACGGCGCUCGCAGCUUUUCUUUGCAAACGUCUGCCUCUUUGCACGUGUCAUUUCAGACGUCGCUGUCACGGUUGUGGCUGAGUCUUAUAUUCAAGGCAGUUCUGUCACAAGAUGCGUGAUGCUAUCCAGCGACUUAGCUAAAAAUUCCCCUGACAAAAUGUUGCCUUGCCCCUCACCCCCCCCCAAAUUAUAUAAUCAUAUAUAUAAUUAUAUAGUUUUACGUAUUCAAGGGCCCCUGUAAAGUGUUGGCUCCCUGAAUCUGCCAGGGUAUCCAUGUCCCUGAUGUAGGGUUAUCAUAUAACAAGAUGAAAAAGAGGAAACUCUGUCUCUCACCUGGCUCAUGUCACUUGUCGAUGUCACAAGUUGACAUCACUCGUGAGCAGUGUGAGACGUAUGGGUGAACAUAUCACUUAAUUUUUAAUGUAACUGUGUGCACGAGCCUUGCAAACACUGAGUGAUGAUACUGACUGGCUGCUGUACAUUGAAAAUUGGUGCCUUUUCCUUCACUUGGUACUCGACUGUAACUUGCCACACUGGUUCAUACGGGCUACAGUGCUAAACCUAAACAAACCGCCCGGACACCCGGACCCAGGCCAGAAGAGACCCAGGAAACCGGGACAUAUGGUAACCCUACCCUGAUGCUACCGUCCUACCAGUAAUGAUAAAUUUUGCCAGCUGAUCUGUCCCAGCUGGAAUACUGUAAACCAGAUCAAACUGGGGAGAACAGCUUGAAUAUGGCUGGAUACACUUGCUAUGCUAAUGUUGGGUAACAAUAAUAUGAUCAUAUUAGCAUUCUGACAUUAAUAAAAUCUCCAUCUUCCAGCCACUUAUUAAGUAGAGUGUCACAAUGAGCCUGGUGGGUAACCCAGGUAGCACAGGUCAGUUCCCAGCCAAUCAAGGAACCUGGUGGCUAACCCAGGUAGCACAGGUCAGUUCCCAGCCAAUCAAGGAACCUCCCCCCGAGGACUGGGUUGGGAAACACUGGCAUAAGUCAUGGACAGGAUGCAGCCUGCAUGGGAUGUCAUUCAAAACUAGCAAAUUAAAAUAAAUUGAUUAUAAUAAAACACACAGUAAACAGGACUGACACUCAUUGUUCAGUUCUUGGAGCCAGUCUCGAGUCACCAAGCAGGGAAACAAAACAGGUCCGUGUUAAAAUCUAAAUUAGACUUUAAAUUGUGUGAAGGUGCCCCCCCCCCCUUGCCAGCUGUGGCCAGCUGCUGCAGGACCACACUGCGCUCCGUCCUAUCAGGGCUGCGGGGAUGCUCAGAUGUGUCACGCUGGGCCCGGGGAAAAAAAAAAAAAAAGAGUUUGCAAAAUGUGGGCCAGCUGAGGCGUCCAUUGUUUGCUGAGCCCCCGGAAACAUCCCGCGUUAAUCUCAAUGUUACACGCCGAUAGCCGCUGAUGCGUCACACUCCCGCAGGUAGGUGGUUUUUAAUAUAAAAGCUCACUGGCGAAUUGAAAUAUUGUCAGAGGUGAAUGCACAUUCACUCCGCCCACAAAGGGAAAUAGGUGCAACAUUAAAAUGUCCUUGUGUGGCCGGAGUGUCAUUUAUUUCCACAUUCGGGAACCAAAGAAAACCGCAUUACCUCCGUUUGCAUGCCUGAUGAGUUUCCUGCAUCCACAGCAUAUGGCAAUUUUGCCUGCUUAUUCAUAGCAUAUAGUUUAUGAGAGUAAUUCAGGGUAAACACCCUUUUACGGUUUUCUUGGAAGUAAGCAAGGAGCCUAGCUAAUGGGUAUGAAUACAGAGCAAUAAAUAUUUUUUUAACCUCA
This is a long non-coding RNA of Paramormyrops kingsleyae, 2715 nucleotides long. RefSeq lists it as uncharacterized. The record is from RefSeq and is a predicted model, not a curated record. NCBI's taxonomy places the organism in Eukaryota, Metazoa, Chordata, Actinopteri, Osteoglossiformes, Mormyridae.